Non-coding RNA from Sturnus vulgaris (Common starling), 948 nucleotides. Lineage: Eukaryota; Metazoa; Chordata; Aves; Passeriformes; Sturnidae. The record is from RefSeq and is a predicted model, not a curated record.
CUACUCAUUUUUCAGACUCAGAUGACACUUUAUUUUUUUUUUUUUCUUCUCUGGGCAAUUUAAUAAGCAACUUCUUCUUCCCUCCACCUUUGAUCUUCUUUUUUCUUCCUUUAUACUUACUGGGUUAAUAGGUUUAUUUUUUUAAGCUAUCAUUGGACAACCCCAAAGCAAUAGGUGCCCUUCUGUUUUCUGAUCACCUCUAUAACAUGGGCCAUAGAAAGUCAUUAUUUUUUAAAUUAAGAACUAACAUACUCCUGGAAUAAGGAUGACCAGUGCUCAGAACAAUACUUGGACUGAGCAGAGGAGGACAGUGAACUCUGAGCAUCCGGAGUGGAACUGCAAAAAAAAAGAAGCUGUGCCCUGCUCUACAGAUGUUUCCACGGUUGUCAAGAUCUUUAUCUCCUGUGCUGAACCCUUUAUUUCCCUGCAAGGCAUAGCAUUCCAUGCCACAGGCAGCCACGUUCCACAUCAAAAGGGACAGCACCGUCUCGGCUCCUGUGGAAUCGUGUUUGCUUUAGGCCAGCUGGGCACAGGCUCAAAGGGUGACACUGGCACAGCUGCACCAUUAAUGCAGGCUAUCAGGAACACAGAAUGUGACUGGAUGACUGGAAACCAGCUGCUAUUUCUACAGCCCAUAAUGUAGUGCCAAAAGUCUCCAUAUCCCCUUGAUCCGAACUGGGAGAUAAAAAAUCUGGACUAGGCAGAAAUGCAUACAGUGCUCAGAAUCACAUAUGACCAACAUUACCAUUUACUGCCCCAGGGGCCCUAGGAGCCAGGCACAGCAGCUAGCCUGGGUCAGAGGAGACUUCUGUUCCAUGCAGGAGGCUCCUGGGACUGUCAGGAGACAUUUUGCAGCAGCACUGUACUGUAUUACAGGCAUAAUUUGAAGUCAAACCAGUGAUAGCAAGCCAUAUGGUUCUAGUGGAAGCAUAACAAAAACAUUUAUGU